GUGGGGAAUAUUGCACAAUGGGCGAAAGCCUGAUGCAGCAACGCCGCGUGAGGGACGACGGCCUUCGGGUUGUAAACCUCUUUUAGUAGGGAAGAAGCGAAAGUGACGGUACCUGCAGAAAAAGCACCGGCUAACUACGUGCCAGCAGCCGCGGUAAUACGUAGGGUGCAAGCGUUAUCCGGAAUUAUUGGGCGUAAAGAGCUCGUAGGCGGUCUGUCGCGUCUGCUGUGAAAACUGGAGGCUCAACCUCCAGCCUGCAGUGGGUACGGGCAGACUAGAGUGCGGUAGGGGAGAUUGGAAUUCCUGGUGUAGCGGUGGAAUGCGCAGAUAUCAGGAGGAACACCGAUGGCGAAGGCAGAUCUCUGGGCCGUAACUGACGCUGAGGAGCGAAAGCGUGGGGAGCGAACAGGAUUAGAUACCCCAGUAGUCC
Molecule: ribosomal RNA, 430 nt
Filed under: uncultured bacterium
Lineage: Bacteria
Description: bacterial SSU rRNA
Rfam family: Bacterial small subunit ribosomal RNA
Source: RNAcentral